This is a long non-coding RNA of Salvelinus sp. IW2-2015, 530 nucleotides long. RefSeq lists it as uncharacterized. The record is from RefSeq and is a predicted model, not a curated record. NCBI's taxonomy places the organism in Eukaryota, Metazoa, Chordata, Actinopteri, Salmoniformes, Salmonidae.
AGUCAACGGAAGCCCCUGCAAUCGCUAGCGGCACCGGCGCGGCGGGGACUUCCUGGUUACCGUGGCCAGAGUCCCACAGGGGGAGUUUGUGGUGCGUCUGAGGGAGAGAGCAAUAGCGCCACCACAAAUCAUCACCAGCCUCUUCAGAGACAGGCCUCCACUCAGAUAAAGACUUCCAGCAUCUCUGUUACGGCCCAGGCUGACAGUACUCUAGAACCCGGUUCUACCAUCUCUGUCCCCUUCAGCGUGCAAUGGCCAACGGAACAGGAGGAACUUUUACCGUCCGAGCCACGAACGACCGCGGUUCACCUCCUCCUUCCCCGCCAGUGUGUCCGUUGUGACCGGAGGCGGAGCGCGCCAACGGUACGGUGACUCUCACGGCGCCCGCCAGCACCCCAUCGGGAACGGACGUCACCCUGACCAUCGAGGCAGAGUCCGCCUGGAGCAGCAGACUUGAACUACGCCAUCCUGCGUCUCUCUGUUUUCAGCAAGGUGACAGAUUUCCACUCCCCCAGUGUGGGGUGGUCAGU